ACUGCAGCAUUUGUGAUGAAUGAAAUCAGUAGCCCCUCUGCUGAUGAUCCUUUGCUGCCGGUCUGCCGGAUACUGCACACAGACAGGAACAACCAAGAUACAAUGUCAUAUGUGUGAGGGGACGGCCUUUUUACAUUCAAGUAUGUUAGAUAUUUGCCUUUUAUGUGUGAAUUAAUUGUGGAAUUUUACUUUUGAGUUGCAAUUUGUUAAAUCCAUGUCUUCUUAGGUGGGGAGGAAAGUCAUAUAUACCGUGUCAAAUUUGAGAUUUGAGGGAAGCUAACUGGCCUUCUUCGUGAUAUCUGUAUUUCCGAUUUUAUUUGCUUUGUUGGUUUGUUUCAUGAUCUGUUUUUCUGGCCGCUAAACAGAAAUUAGGAUUUAAUAGAACAGGUAAGUAAAAUAGAGGUGAUAUGUCUAGAGACUGGAAACAAAUCCUCUUCUGUUUUGUGGUCUGUCAGAUUCUUCUGGUAGUCCGAAGAUCCCCGAAUUCCUUAAAAUUGGACCAUGGUUCGCAGAAUGCAAGAUGUAAUCUUUGAACUUGUAUAUGGCUACUGUAUACAGAAUUGCAUAAUCAUAGAAAGAUUGUGCUUGGAGGAUUAAAGAUACACCCUAAAAAGGGAAGUUUAAUUGCACGUCAAUCUGUUGAUAAUAUGAAAUGGGUCUUUUUCUUGAACUAGUAUAUGGUGUUAUGUUAAACGUGUUACACAUAUAUUGCCCUUUCAUGCUACAACAACAACAUACUCAGUGAAAUCCCACUAAGUAGGGUCUACGAAGGAUAGAGUAUACACAGACCUUACCACUACCUCGUGGAAGUAGAGAGGUUGUUUCCGAAAGACCCUCGGCUCAAGUGCGUCAAAUUCAAGUAAAAGAAGAAGACAAUGAAGAAAACAUAGCAGUUAAAUAAGAAAAGCAGUGUAUAGUCGAUAAAAAAGCAAUAACAACAACAAAAUAGUGGGGGUCAUGUACCCUUUCAUGCUACAUGAGCAAAAAUACCUUGAACUGCAAUUUAUUUCAUUAGAAUCAUUGCAUGUUCUUGCUAUUAUUGUGAAAAAGACUGAGUAGCUAUAAUAGGUUACAGGAAAAAUACUAUUUUGUAUUUCUGGGAUGCGCUACUUAGGAAUAUGUUCGUGUUUCGGAGGCCAGUUUAUGCUGAAAAGACACCUUUUUAGAUUUCAUAAACCAUACCAACUUGAAGUGUUUUAUCUGGUGGAAUUUGAAGUGCAGAAAUAGCUGCCCUGCUAUUCUUCUGAAGAAACCUGUACAAGUACUCUAUAGUGAAGCGAGCAAACCAACCUUUAUUUGCUUUGAGAAUGGUUCUUCCUAACACAAAAACGGGUCCUCUUUCAGCAGCUGCAUCUAUUUUUCGUUUUUCACUAGUAGACUCGGCUUGGUCUUGGAGUUUUGUGAUCAUUAAAGUAACAAAGUCAUCUCCUUCCAUGCUUUGAGAAUCCUUAUAUCCAAACUGAAUCAAACACCGAUAAAAUCCUUCAACUCCCGUCUUCCCCACAUUGUAACGUUCCUCCACCAGGACGGUUUUGAUGGGAAGAGUUCUAACAGUGACAAUUACCAGGAUUUCUCUUACAGAAUUUGUGUGCUGAAUGUAAUGACAGAUUAUGGGUGGAAUGCCAUUUCUGAGAUCAGUGAAAAAGAAGCAAAUUCCUGGUGCUCGGUAUGUACUAUAGCUUGAUAGCAUUUGGUCUAGAUCAGGUAAACUCAUCUUUCUAUCUGCUUCAUAUUCUUUUUUCUUACUCCUUCCAUAUGUCCAAGAUAGCAUGAUAGUCAAGAAGAAAGCAGAAAUAGCAAAUGGCACCCAUCCUCCUUGUGGUAUUUUAUUGAGCAAAGAUGUCAUGAAACAACCUUCAAUUAUUAUAUAAGGCAAGAAAAAUGCCAAAAUGAGAAUGAUAUUUGUCUUCCAUAUGAUUAGCAUCACUAAUGCUGUCAAGAAUGUUGUUAUGAUCAGGGGCGGACCCACGUGGAGGUCAGGGGGUUCACCCGAACCCCCUCAUCGAAAAAUUACACUGUAUAUAUAAGGUCUAUUUCUGAUUUUAUGAGUACAUAUAUUAAAAUGAACCCCCUCAAUUUUUAAGAGAGGCAUGGCUCAGUGGUUAAGGGGUUCAACUCUAACCAAGAGGGUCUGGGUUCGAUUCCCACUUGCAACAUUUUUCCAUUUGUUUUUUUUUCUUUGAAAGGUUGAAUGGGCUCUUGCUUUGGGCUCAAAUCCAAUUCCAUUUCAUUGUUUUUAGAAGGCUGUAUGGGCUCUGGUUUCGGGCUCAAAUCCCAACUCAAUGAAAUGUCUCACUAUUUGAUUAUUAUUAAAUUUGAAAUUGAUUUACAAAAAUAUUAUAUAAAAAUAAAUUAAAUUAAAGUUAAUCGAAUGAAGAAAUUUAAAAGUCGUGUAUAAUCUUUUAAUAAAAUCUAAUUAAUUGAUUCCCGCCCCUCCCCCCCCUCUUAAAUUUAUAGUAUUUCUUUCUUAUUUUUUUUCAGUUUGAUUUUAAAAAGAUGAAAACUAAACUAAACUUAUUUGUUCUAUUCAUCAUUUGAUGAAUUAUUAUUAAAUUUGAAAUUGAUUUACAAAAAUAUUAUAUAAAAAUAAAUUAAAUUAAAGUUAAUCGAAUGAAGAAAUUUAAAAGUCGUGUAUAAUCUUUUAAUAAAAUCUAAUUAAUUGAUUCCCGCCCCUCCCCCCCCUCUUAAAUUUAUAGUAUUUCUUUCUUAUUUUUUUUCAGUUUGAUUUUAAAAAGAUGAAAACUAAACUAAACUUAUUUGNNNNNNNNNNNNNNNNNNNNNNNNNNNNNNNNNNNNNNNNNNNNNNNNNNNNNNNNNNNNNNNNNNNNNNNNNNNNNNNNNNNNNNNNNNNNNNNNNNNNUAAACUUAUUGGAUUCAGAUUACUAGUUUCCUCCUAUAUCUCGCUCAGUUUUUUAUCUUGUAAUUUUCACAUGUUUACUUCUUUAUAUUUCGAACCCCCUCCACAGAAAUCCUGGAUCCGCCACAGUUGACACCCCUUCGUUAGAAAACUAUAUUGUAUAGAUAGGUAACUUAUUUAUUUUAUAUAUAUGUGUUAUGAUAUUGAUAUCCUUUGAAUUCUUCAUGAAUUUACUUAUUUAUAUUUUGACAUUUCUUUAUGAAAAUUCUGAUUCGAACACUAAAAAUAACUAUCAAUAUUAAAUGACUGAUGACGACGAUCAUGCAUGAUAAAAGGAUGAUCAAGUGAACAACUCUAUCGACAAUUGCAUUGGGUAUCAAAUAAGGAUAAUAUACUUAAUAAUAUUGAUAUUUUUCUUUCUUUAUAGAAUAGAAUAAUGAGUUGGCACCUUUUUGAAGUUUCUUUUUAAGCACGUCGCCAAAAGUCAAAAUUCUUUUGGAUAUCCCUUUCUAUGGACGUCAUUUAGAUUUUGUCAUCUAUUAAUGAUUUUGUGCCAAUUAUUUAUAAGAUCGCAUAAGAUAUAAACGUUCUUUUUAACUUGACCUCAAUUGAUAUUUAUCUAUGUUUUUUAAUUUUGAAUGUAUAUAAGUAGACACUUGAAUUUGUACAAAAUUGAACAAAUAGACACAUUCAUCUUACGUGGCAUCCUACAAGUCAACUGUGUGUCCUACAUAUAUAUUAUGUCACGUAGGAUACAUAUAUAUAUCUAGGAAAAGUUAAUCCACAUAUACAUAUAAAAACAUAUAUUACAUCGUAUAUACGUAGAAAUUAGUAAUAUAACAAAAUAAUUACUAGUGAUGACAGAUUUGGAUUAUUUAAUAAUUAAUUUAAUUAUAUUUGAAUUAUUUAAUAAUUAUAUUUUUUUUGCUUUAGUGCAAAUAAGAAGCGUGCAAUUUUUGUAGUAGUACGUACCUAGGAUAUGAUCAUGACCCAGAUGACCACCACCCCUGUAGUUGAAAAAGAAAAGUUAGUUCCAUUUCUCAGCGAAGUACGCUUUAUUUGGACUUCCAGUUGUGGUUUAACUUAACAACAACAACAACAGAUCUAGUGUGAUCCCACACUUGUCUGGAGAGGUGGGUGGUAUGCAGACUGUACCCUACCUUUGCGAGGUAGAGAGGUUGCUUACGAUAAGACCCUCUCGGCUCAAGAAAAGCGUUUUUCAAACAUUUUUAUACUAUUAAUUUUACUCGUUUGGAAACCGACUCUCUACCUCCACGAGGUAGCGUAAGGUCUGUGUACACUCUACCCUCCCUAGACCUCACCUGUGUGAUUACACUAGGUAUGUUAUUGUUGUUGUUGAAUUAAUAAUAAUUUUACUGAUUAUAACAGGUUAUUUACCAUUGUUACAGAUUAUUAACCCAUUCUUGCUAUAAAAAGUUGCAUAUAAUUGGUUAUUUUAAGUAGCAUGAUAGUAUUAGAUUUUUAAGUUGUCGGUGUACAAAAAGAAAUCUGAGUGAUGCUUACCAUAGGCAUUUGCUAGUUCAACACCUCCUUUGAAACCAAGAACGAGAGUGACACAAAGAAUCAUGAGGAUGUAGUUUACCUCUGGGGAAUAGAUUUGUCCUUCAUGCUUGGAUGAAGUAUGUAUAAUGUUUACUCGAGGGAAGCAUCCAAGAGCAAGUGAUUGCUUUACAAUGGAAAAAGUUGCUGAUAUCAUGGACUGGCUAGCAACCACGGCAGCUAGAGUUGAGAUUACAAACAUUGGCCAGUAAACAGGUUUUGGUAGGGAACUGUAAUAAGCAUUGUUGAUAUUCUCUGGAUACCUCACUAGAUAAGCUGUUUCUCCGGCAUAGCUGAGAACUAGGGAUGGAUAAACUACAAAAGAAAAUGCCAACUGCAAGACUCAUUGUACAGAAAUGCCAUCAAUCAGAUUAACUUUUCUAAUGGUAGAUUAGAGUUCUUUGUUCCUUACCUGAAUUGCUCUUUUAUUGAAAUGACCUAAAUCAGCAAACAUGGCUUCCGCUCCUGCAUGACAGUUUAAAACAUGUCGGAAGUGAACUAAUUUUCUCCUAUUUCAUAUGCUUUUCUUUUAUCUUUUUUUUCCCCUCAAAAUUAGUUGUAAAGUUAAACCUGUAAUGCUUAGAAAUACUGCACCGAGAAGAUUCCAAGCAGUCUUUCCAUUUCUUGAAACAAAUUUCACUAUGUAGUGUGGAGAAAUGGCUUUAAGAACGGAUGGAUAGUACUCCAAAAUAUUGUAGAUACCGACUGAAACAUUGGUAGCAAACCACAAUAACAUUACGGGUGUGAAGCAGAAGCUAACUUUGCUUGUUCCACAGCGUUGAAAAGUGAAAAGUGCGAUUAACAUAAUCACAGACAUGAAAACCACAUGAUCUGCAGCCAAUAGAACUUUCAUUAAACCUCACGUUUUGGUGAGUAAAUGGAAGCAGAUCUGAACUAGCAAUAGAACUGUCUUUUGAAAAUUAUUUUGACUUUACCUUGUGUUAUCUUGGAAGAGAGAGAUUGAAUUCCUUGCAGGGCUGAGAGAACUGAUGUAACAAGUGUAUGGACAUGAGGCAACGUCGAAAGGAAAUAUAACUUGGAGAAAACAAAGGAAGAAUGUUACCGCAAGUAGCAGGAGUGAGAGCUCCAUCACCAAUGACCAUACAAGUUCCAAGUAAAACAACAAAAGUAAGAACAUUUUGAGCUGUGGAACUUUUCUCCAGGAACUUCUUAGUUUUUGAACGCCUAGAACUUCCACUCUCUUGGCUGUAAUAAGCCAUGCUCUCAUCAGAUUCCAUCCUAACGUUGUGGAUACUAAGUUUGCUUUGGAAAUUGAUAUGGCGACAGAGAUAUGAAUAGAGAGCAAAAGUACCGCCUUCUCCAUGAUCAUUAGCAUGGAGGACGAUGAAGACAUAUUUGACUAACACAAGCAACGUUAGAGUCCAAAAGAUUAGGCUGAAUGUCCCAAGUAAAUCAUCUUCAGUGAGAUUUGUCAAGCGAGUAGAGGAAAAUACAUUGACAGGAGAAGUGGCAAGGUCCCCAUAUACAACUCCAAGAGAUUGGUAAGCCAACAACAAGGUCUGCAUGGGUGGAUAUUCCUGAGAAAAAUACUCAAAAUCUCAAUAUCCUAUGAAGUGACUUAGAAGUUUCAAGGCAGUAACAAAAAAAAGUGUGAAGUUAUCAGAUUUUAUCGAAACUGGUAGUAGCACUAGCACACAUCGAGGGUAAAAUGAGAACAGGUUGCUUGUGAUGAUUUCAUCAUGUCCUAUGUCAACCUCCAGAUGCACCGGUCUGCAGGAACCAUGAUGACUUAAGGUGUUCAAAAGGAAGAGGUAGUUAUAACUUAAUCACAUGAAGGAAGUUAUCCCGAAAGACCUACACUCUCUUGAAAUCUAUGCAAACCUAGCAAAAGAUCGGGCACAAUGAAAGAAAAGGAUCUAUGUGGAUGAUACCAGUUAGUUGGUUUAAGCUUUAAUUAUGCUAAUAUGUUUACUUUCGAUCCCAAUGUUUGUUGGGAGUUUUUAGGUCUUGUUUGAGAUUUCAUGCGUGGGAAAUGCAGACAGCUUCUAGUGCUACAAAAACUAAUUCUUUAUUAUAUUUGAACUUAGACAAAGCUUAAUUGAGUGACAUGGACAAUGAGAAUUCAUAUAGCCGAGGAUUCACAUAGACGGUCUUAAAUAGAGGGACAGUGGAUAUUUCUUGGAAUAUUGAAGAUGAGAAAAAGUAAAGCUUACCUUAGCUUUGGUUAAGGGAGACUGGUAUGUCUGCAUAACUGUCAUGUAUGUUUCCAUAGCAGGUACUGGUUCUGGAACAACUCUCCUGCUGUUGUUACAAAGGUCAAUACGGUUACUAUCUUCAAGAUUGCUUCUACUUUCAAUAUCAUAGUUCUUUAUGCUGGAAUUGUUGCUUUUAACAUCUUCCAUGUUUUAAAUGCAGGACACUUCCAAUAUUCUAGUUAAGAAGUUGCCGUACAUUGUGUCAUGCUUAUAUAGCUUCAAAAAAGCCUCAAGGACUAUCGAUUUGCAAACAGGGAUAUCGAUUUGGUUGAUCCUAAGAAUAAAACAAAAGAUAUAAGUUAGUGCUGCAAAUUCUAAAAGCCACAAGUUGCUGGAGAGGGAGCAGGUAAAGGAACACAUCAUCAUAUAUAUAUUUUAGCAGUAAUUCCACCAAUUUGCAUACAAAUUUAUUUCAUCAUCCUGUUGGAGCACUUAUCGAUUCGCAAACAGGGAUAUGAAGAUAAAUUAUUGGUACAUUUUCUUGUUGACAUAUUAUAUUUUAUACCAAGGAGUGACUACACACUCUCACAAGUGACAUAUAACCAGAAAUUUUUAAAAAUCUGCCACUGUUGCUUUGUUGGAUGAACCUUAUCUAGUCUAGUCUAGUCUAGUUAAAUAAAUCAAGCUUAAAUUUUUGCAGUAAGUUGAUGACAAGUGAAAACUAGUAAAUCCUCUGAUUAAAAAGGUAAGCUUGAUUAAUGAACAAAAGCUCAUAUGCAAUUUUGCUGGCUUAUGAUUCUUUUGAUUAUGAAUUUUUUGUUUUAUUAUAGGUAUAUAUAUCAGUGUUGACACAUCUUGACCUAAGCUGGUCCAAUGUAAUGGUUAAGGUGUUGCACAACUUUCUUAAACUCGUGUGUUCAGUCCUAGCUAGCGACAUCAUUAUAUUUGCCUUUUUUUUACAUCUUUAAUAAAAAUCUUAACUCCGCCGCUAUCCGUCCACAUAUGUACAUGGAGGACGUAGGUAUUGCCGAAAGUGUUAAGUGAGAAGGAUGUAAGUUGUUCUAAAAGGGCUAACUGACAUACAAAUAUGUUAACUACUUUGGAAUCACACUUCUUAUUAAAUUUAGUCAAAGACGUAGACCUAUCUGUCCAAAAUACUCUUAUGAGGUAUUUAACUUUAAAUUUUAUUGGCUUUACAUGUGAGUAAAUCAAUUUGAUUGCGAUUUGGUCACUAUUAUAUUGUUCUUAUCUUUUCUCUAUCGUAUAUUCUAUUCAUAUUUACCUCUAAAUGAUUAAACGUGCAUUGGUGGAUCAAACUGUCAAAUAAUAAUAACACACCAAGUAUAAUUUUAGAAAGUGAGGUAGGGAGAGGAUAAGUGUAUGUGAAUCUUACUUCUACUUCAGGGUGGAGAGAUUCUUUCUAAUAGAUUCUCGACUCAAGAAAAAAAAUAAUUCAAAGCAAUCUAGAAAGGAAGUAACAAAAGUACAAGAAAUAUCAUAUAGUAACAAAAACAACAAAUAGUUAUAACAACUCUUUUUGAGGGUUUUUCAAUUGAAGUGAUGAUACUGAGAAGAUAUUAUUUUUACUUAUUUAGAGUUGUCACUUGGAAUUGAGUUAUGAUGUUCCAAGUCACUUUUUUGGAUCUCUAAUCAAAAGAAAAUACUCUUUUAUUUUUUGUUUAGCGAAAAGAAAAGACUAGAUAAGAAAUUUUAUUGACCGAGGGGAAGGUAUGAGGCACUCUUCCAAUCACGUUCGCUUUUAUUAACUUAUACUCAACUUAAAUUAUUUUUUGAAUUAUUGUUAUAGACUAUGAUUUGCUCGCAUUUAUUGUUGGACUUUUAUUGAUCUCAACCUAUAUUCUUCACCGCAUUUUUGAUCUUGACAUACACAUGCUUAGAGACAUAAGUCACUCUUUGCGAGAGUGCAUUGCACCUAAUAAUCUUUGUCUACCCGUUUGAUUUGAAUUAAUGAAAAUUAAUUAUUAGAACAAUUUGGGUGACUUUCUUUCAAGUGUUUCAGAAAAAAUGUCUUAUCACAUUCUUAAUUGAAACCAAAUUAUUUUUAAAAAAAAGAUGUGUCUAAAUUUGCCUCCAAAAUUAGUUUGUCAAUUUUUAAGUGUGAAUCAAGUGGUGCCAAACUAUAACCAUUCAAUCAAAAUUUGUCAAUCUAUCGUUAUUUCCAAAACAAUAUCAUCAAACUUUUUUUUUGUUUUCCAUUUUCGGUGUUUGGUACCCACAUUGGUGCCCGACAAAAUCCGAACUCACGCAUGGACGUCUCACAUACAGCACGACACUUGUACUCUUAGAAAAGGGUUAUAUUUACUCUUUGUUAUACUUUUUGGUUAUAUUUGCUCCUACCAUCCAACUUUGGGUUUAUAUUUCCAACUUUGGAUUUAUAUUUCACCCUUGAGUUGUUAAAUUCCACAUCACUCCCUUUUAUUAUCCUACGUGGCACCUACAUGGAUAUAAUCUUCUCUAAUUUAAUUAUUACACCUCACCCCCAAAUAAUUGGAAACGUUUUUUUCACUUGGUUCCUUUCAAUUCUUUGGAGUGAGGUAUAAUAAUUAAAUUAGAGAAGAUUAUAUCCAUGUAGGAGCCAUGUAGGAUAAUAAAAGGGGGUGAUGUGGAACUUAACAACUCAAAGGAUAAAUAUGAACCUAAAGUUGGAUGGUAGGGGCAAAUAUAACCAAAAAGUAUAACGAAGGAUAAAUAUAGCCAUUUUCUAAGAGUAUAAGGGCAAAUAUGACCUUUUUCCGAUAAUAAUAAUAAUAAUAUUAAUGAUGAUAAUAAUAAUAUUAAUAAUAACAAUAAUAAUAUUUAAUAUUAUUAUUAUUCAUCUUAAACAUGCACAUAGUAGUUAGUAAACUUGUUGAAAUUUUCUUAUUAAUUUCUUUUUUUGAAAAAAAAAACUAAAGCUAUGUUAGCAUCCAAAAGAUCAAAGCAACAUCCAUAUAUAACUUAUCACUUAUCACACAAUUGAACAAAGAACUCAUCCAAAUUAGUAAGGUACGAACACCAAAAAAUUUGAUAACUGAUUAAAGAAAAGAGUGAGAAAUAGAUUUUUAAGCAUGCAAGAAAUAAUCACCAUAUUACACCAAUUUUAUUUUAAAUUUAAUGAUAUAACAAGUUUAAAUAUAUUUCAAUAUUAUAAUGUUAAAGUUAUACACACAUAAAAUUUGAACAACUUCUAAUAUUGGAAUCAAGUCUUAUAUAAUUAUGAAAUUGAAUCAUACAAUGAAAAUUAAAUGCUACCUUUUGUGAAUAUUAAUUCACAAGAAGUAAAUCGACCACAAUGAGGAAGCACGAACUCGAAAUCGCAAAGGUAGACAUCAAAAUCCUCCUUAUUUUCCUUUUCUUUCCCUUUAUGUGUGAGUUUUUGUGUAUAAUAUAUUGGUUGUGUAGUAACAGUGUUAUAGAUGUAAGAUGAAUGGAUGUGUGUAAAUGGUUCAAAUGUGAAAGUGAUGUGUUUUUUUGUUGUUGUUGUGCAUGAGUCUGUGUAGUUAGGUUUGUGUUUGGGAUUAGAGGGAGAUAAUGGGGGAUAUGGGCAGUGAGUUCAGGAUUCACUACAACAAUAUGUAUUUAUAGCUAUGAAUUUAAGAAUUGUAGCUAUUACUUACUAAUAGCCGCAAAAUUUAAAUUUUAUAGUUAUUUACAAAUUCGUAAAAAAAUAUGUUAGCCACGAAAUUAAGCUACCAAAGCUAAUCUUUUCAUUUUUGCUACAAUUACUAGCAAUCGGGACAAUAAGUGCCUAAAUAGCUACAACUUUAUUGCUACAUUAAACUUUUGUGGUUGAUCAUAGGAUUUUGCCACGCGAUAAAAGUUAUUGUAGCAAUAGUAACCUUCUAGCUACAAUAAACCAUUUGAGUCAAAAUAUUGUAGCUUAAUAAAUUCUUUUGCUCAAACUAUAAAAAAAAGGGGCAAUAGUUAAAUGAUAUAGCCAUGACUUUUUUGCUACACUAAAAUUUCGUAGCUAUUAAUUAAUUUUUGCCACGAGCAAAAAUUUAUCAUAACAAUACUAAUCGUUUAGCCACAAUAAAUUAUUUGAGAUAAAACAUUGUAGCUAAAUAAAUAUAUUUGUUUCAAGUUACAAAAAUUGUUGCAUUAGUUAAAUGUUAUAGUCAUAGAAUUUUCGCUACGAUAAAAUUUUGUAGCUAAUUAUUAAUUUUUGUCAUGCAUUGAAACUUGUUGUAGCAAUAGUGACCUUUUAGCCAUGAAAAAAAGUUAUUUAAAACAAAUAUUAUAUUCUAAAUAAAUAUUUUUUGCUUUGAAUACUAAAAAAAUUGGCAAUAGUUAACUUAAUAAUAAUUAUAAUUAUUUAUCAUGAGGAAAUGAUUUAGCCACAAAUUUAGUAUUGUAAUAAUAAUUUGUUGCUUAUAAUUAUUUUUUACCACAAGUUGAUUGUUUAUAUAACCAUACUAAUCUUAUGUAGUUAGAAGUGUCAAUUGUUUGAUUUGAUUCAAUACUACAUAACUACUUGUGAAUUUCAAUUUCAAUUUCAAAUUUUCAAUAAAUAUGUGAUUAUAUCUAAUUAAUUUUAAUUAACUAAUUAUAUCGAACUUAAUUAUAUAUAAUUUCACUAAGUCUUACUAAAGCUUCAUCACAUUGAAAUGCUUCUAGAAUUGUUAUUUGACUUAAACUUAUUCUAUCAGAAUAAUAUAUUUAUUGAUUUAAUGUGAUUGAAGAUGUUAUUCAAUUGAUUUAAUUCAAUUUUAUAGCUUGUGAGCCUAAUUUAUUAUCUUAUUGCAAAAUAUAUUUUAAGGUGUUAUAAGUUGUAUUUUCUUUAAAAAGUAUGAUCAAAUUAUCUUUUGCUAAAUAUUGUCAUAUUUUAUUCAAAUACAUAAUAUGAAUUAGUUUAAAAUAUAGUUAGAUAAAUCGAUUGUUUAGUGAAUAUAAUUAAUACAAGUACAUUAAUAAAAAAACAAAUAAAAAAUUGCCAUUUCAUUUAUUUUUUCUAUUGAAAGUUUAAUUUUAUUUUUGAAUUUUCUAUUUUAAAUUUAACAUUUUUAGCCAUUUAAUUUUUGUUUUCAAUUCAAACUAAAAAAAUCAAUUCAAAAUUCACAUCCUAUUUAAAUUCAAAUUGAAGGAAUCAAAUGUUGUGGAACUAUAUUUUGUCACGACCCAAAUUGAGUCAUGAGUGGCACCCACACUUAACCUCCUAAGUGGGCGGACCAAGGAACCAAGGAAUCUAAACCCCAACACAUACCAAUAAUUCAACUACGAAUAACAACAAUAACGCGGAAGCUCCAAAACUUAUUAAAGUAACCAAUCAAAUAAACCUCUAAAGUCUAUUACAUAUUAUCCCAAAAUCUGAAAGUCAUCACAUCAAGGACAUCUAAUCUCUAAAUACUAAGUCUAAGAGUAUCAAAGACACCGAAAUAAAUGAAAUAAAGUAAUUUGUGUCCGAAAACUAUGGACAUCAGGUCAUGACCGAGAGAAUCCAACACAAGCUCGAAUAAAUAGUUCACCCUUAAACCUGAUAUGCUGAGACUAGCUAGAGCCGAGGGCGAGUCAAAGUCGCUGGUACACUCGCUGCACUCCAUAAAAGGAAAACAAAGAAAAAUACAAGUAGGGCUCAGUACGGGGCAACAUGUACUGAGUAGGUAUCAUCGGCCAACCCAAAAUAGAAACUAAUAUACAAUGAAUAAUAGUAUAAAGUCAACUAUAGCACUUAGCAGGUGAUAAGAAACAACAACAUGAACAAGUGACAGUUGAAGCAAGUACGUAAUCAAUCACAAUAUCAAGCACACACACGAGGACUCAUGCCUCCACAUCACACUNNNNNNNNNNNNNNNNNNNNNNNNNNNNNNNNNNNNNNNNNNNNNNNNNNNNNNNNNNNNNNNNNNNNNNNNNNNNNNNNNNNNNNNNNNNNNNNNNNNNNNNNNNNNNNNNNNNNNNNNNNNNNNNNNNNNNNNNNNNNNNNNNNNNNNNNNNNNNNNNNNNNNNNNNNNNNNNNNNNNNNNNNNNNNNNNNNNNNNNNNNNNNNNNNNNNNNNNNNNNNNNNNNNNNNNNNNNNNNNNNNNNNNNNNNNNNNNNNNNNNNNNNNNNNNNNNNNNNNNNNNNNNNNNNNNNNNNNNNNNNNNNNNNNNNNNNNNNNNNNNNNNNNNNNNNNNGAAUAUCACCCUAAAACAAUAAAAUGCAAACUAACUUAUUUAUGAUAAUAUAAUAUAGUUUACUUACUUAAACCCAUAUAUCAUCAUUUCAAUUAUGUCGUAAUAACGAACAUUAAAGCUAAGCUACUGAUUGUGAAUAUCACCCUAAAACAAUAAAAUGCAAACUAACUUAUUUAUGAUAAUAUAAUAUAGUUUACUUACUUAAACCCAUAUAUCAUCAUUUCAAUUAUGUCGUAAUAACGAACAUUAAAGCUAAGCUACUGAUUGUGAAUAUCACCCUAAAACAAUAAAAUGCAAACUAACUUAUUUAUGAUAAUACACUAUAACCUCAUUCUUAAAUGUUGAAAUGGCACACAUUUGCCAAUAAUUACUCACAAAAGUUUGUCUCCCACAAUCCUGCCGCUACUAUCCAUUCUAAAUUCCCAUCCAAACCUUAAUUAUAAAACAAUAAUUAUCACUCCUACUAUUGAUAACUACACUUCACCCUAACACUACUGCCAAUGCACACUCGUUCUUUCCAAUGUCUCAUCUAAUUACAAUACUAUAAUAAUCAUCAUAAUUAUCGCCUAACAUUCACUCACUAAAAUUGGACAAACAACAUAUUCAAUAGAUAAGACAAAUGGAUAAUUAAUGCAUCCCAAGGAUUUCCACUCAAUUAAUAUAAACCCAUUACAUAUUACUUAAGGAAAUCGAAGAGUUGAAGCAUUACCUGGAUGGCAGUCGCUUUUGGUUGACGCCGCAGGUAGUGUUUCUCUCGUUAGUGUUUUUAAUUAUCUAGGGUAACUAAUUAUGAACUAAUAAAUAUUAAAUCUUACUAAUUUUAAUGUUAUCUUCUUUAACCACCAACUAAAUUCAUUAUUAAAACAACUCCACUAAUUCCAUAUUGUAGUUACAAAUAGUCCAAAAUACCUAUUUAGAAUCUAUCGAAAAGUAUUUUAUGAAAUCAAAAGUUCUAGUACUCAAAACGACCAAACGGGUCGUUACAUAUUUCCACUAUAGUUGGGCGAUAUAACUUGAAUUUGAAUUCACAUUAUUGAUAAAAAAAUAUAUAUAUACAUUUUUAUACUAUAUAAUAUAAUAAUAAGUAAAGGAAAAAGAUAAUACUCAAACUUAAAUUUUACCAACCUCCUCCUCCCACCCCCCAAAAAAAAAAAUUAUAAAUUAUAAAAAACCCAAAUUUCUCUCCAAAAUUUUAAAACCCAAAAAAAAUACCCUACUCCCUCUUCACUUAACAGUUAACACAGCACAUUGGCACAUUCUGUACGCCUCCCUCCCCUGAGAGCUAUAUCUAUAGGUUUUACGAACUUAAAAAAAUUACAGAUUUGUUUAUUUCUUUGCUUACUUUGUAUUUUUUCUUAGUUUUUAUUUGUUAAACAUUUUAUUAAAAUAAUGGGAUAAGGGUCUGAAAAAUAACCUAACUUUGGUCGAAUUUGCUGUUGCGAUACUAAACUUUCAUGAGGACCUAUUACCUCCCUAGACUAUUUAAUACCGUAUUUUAAGCAUAUAUAUUUGUCCACAUGGACAUAAAAAAUAAUGCAAAAUUAUAAAUAGUAAUGUGUCCACGUGGGCACAUAUAUACCUUUAAAAUACACUAUUAAAUAGUUCAGGAGGUAAAAAAUACGGUAUUAAAUAGUCUAGGGAGGUAAUAGGUCCUCAUGAAAGUUUAGUAACGCAACAACAAAUUCGACCAAAGUUGAGGUAUUUUUCAGACAUGAAAGUUUAGUAUCGCAACAGCAAAUUCGAUCAAAGUUGGGGUAUUUUUCAGACCCUUAUCCCUAAAAUAAUUAUCCAAGACAUAUAUUUUUUCUCCUUGAAAUUAUAUAUACACAGUUGCACAUAUAAUUACUUGGUCUUGAUUUUGUUGAUACUAAAAUACUUUAUCAUUAUUGAUAGGCAUAUAAACGGCAAAUUAGAAUGGAUGUCGAUAAAGCUAAGGUGCAAUUAAGAUCGUGGAAGAAUAAAUAGG
RNAcentral lists this long non-coding RNA (14649 nucleotides) under Solanum tuberosum (potato). RNAcentral's name for it is "long non-coding RNA (STUB_LNC006528)". Lineage: Eukaryota; Viridiplantae; Streptophyta; Magnoliopsida; Solanales; Solanaceae. The record is from RNAcentral.